This is a long non-coding RNA of Spinacia oleracea (spinach), 748 nucleotides long. RefSeq lists it as uncharacterized. The transcript has 2 exons. NCBI's taxonomy places the organism in Eukaryota, Viridiplantae, Streptophyta, Magnoliopsida, Caryophyllales, Amaranthaceae. The record is from RefSeq and is a predicted model, not a curated record.
CUACAAAACUUAUACAACAUUAUUAUUCACACGUUUACAAGAUCGAGUUUCCAAGCUGUUCAUGUUGUGUUGAUCAUCCUGGUUCUUAUUAGGUUUUCUUCAUUCCUCCCACUUCCUAGUUCAUAUUCGUGGCGGAUCUUGACCAAAAUAUUUCGAGAAUUAAGCUUAGAAGAGUAAUAGGCAUCCAAAGGAACAACAUCACAAAACAAAAAUGGAAAGUUACAAAAUAAGCAAAACCCAAAUGUCAGAGGGCGAAGAAAGAGUCAGAGGAGAGCUAGAGAUGGAGAUGGACAAAGAAAAAGAUUUAGAAGUAGAAAUCAAAGAAGAAAUAUAUCGCCUCGCACUACGCCUUCAUCGCCUAUACCAACACCAGAGAGACGAGCAUAUUUCUAGCAAAGCUCAUCACGUCGACAAUCACGACCACGACCACGACCAUGACCAUGAUCACGACCACGACCACGACCACGACCAUGAUCACGACCACGACCACGAUCACGACCACGACCACGCCAACAACAACAACAACAACAACAACAACAACAACAAUAACAAUAACAACAAUAACAUAUACAACUUAUACGGAGUAUUUUUGGUAAUGUCAUAAUCGUAAAAUUUCACUGUAUGAUUUAUUUACUAUCUGUUUAUUUGUACUGAUGAAUAAGUGGCUUGAUCACGAAUGGCUUUGUUUAGUUUUUCAAGCUUUUGUUGAUUUUUUACAAAAAUAAGUAAAACGUUAUUUGUUUGUUUA